RNAcentral lists this ribosomal RNA (704 nucleotides) under uncultured Bacilli bacterium. RNAcentral's name for it is "bacterial SSU rRNA". It matches the Rfam family "Bacterial small subunit ribosomal RNA", at positions 70 to 757 of the family's 1533-position model. The record is from RNAcentral. Lineage: Bacteria; Bacillati; Bacillota; Bacilli.
CGACGGGAGCUUGCUCCCUUAGGUCAGCGGCGGACGGGUGAGUAACACGUGGGUAACCUGCCUGUAAGACUGGGAUAACUCCGGGAAACCGGGGCUAAUACCGGAUGCUUGAUUGAACCGCAUGGUUCAAUCAUAAAAGGUGGCUUUUAGCUACCACUUGCAGAUGGACCCGCGGCGCAUUAGCUAGUUGGUGAGGUAACGGCUCACCAAGGCGACGAUGCGUAGCCGACCUGAGAGGGUGAUCGGCCACACUGGGACUGAGACACGGCCCAGACUCCUACGGGAGGCAGCAGUAGGGAAUCUUCCGCAAUGGACGAAAGUCUGACGGAGCAACGCCGCGUGAGUGAUGAAGGUUUUCGGAUCGUAAAACUCUGUUGUUAGGGAAGAACAAGUACCGUUCGAAUAGGGCGGUACCUUGACGGUACCUAACCAGAAAGCCACGGCUAACUACGUGCCAGCAGCCGCGGUAAUACGUAGGUGGCAAGCGUUGUCCGGAAUUAUUGGGCGUAAAGCGCGCGCAGGCGGUUUCUUAAGUCUGAUGUGAAAGCCCCCGGCUCAACCGGGGAGGGUCAUUGGAAACUGGGGAACUUGAGUGCAGAAGAGGAGAGUGGAAUUCCACGUGUAGCGGUGAAAUGCGUAGAGAUGUGGAGGAACACCAGUGGCGAAGGCGACUCUCUGGUCUGUAACUGACGCUGAGGCGCGAA